Mirounga angustirostris (Northern elephant seal) is the source of this 13156-nucleotide long non-coding RNA. RefSeq lists it as uncharacterized. The transcript has 3 exons. The record is from RefSeq and is a predicted model, not a curated record. NCBI's taxonomy places the organism in Eukaryota, Metazoa, Chordata, Mammalia, Carnivora, Phocidae.
ACACUGUCCCGGAGGGUUCUACCCCCCGCUUAGCCACCAGAGUGACGUCCCUCGGCGGAGCAGACUUUUAAAAGUUCCAAUUUUGUGCUCCGCGGCUCUAUCACUUGCCAGAAGCGGCCGACGGAGGCCCCUCCCCCGCCAUCUAUCCUCCGGAACAUCGCCUCGGAUUCACUUCUCUGCUCGUCCUACCUUCCAGAAAAUGGUCGCUUUUCUGUUUGGAGAGUUGUUGCUAUUCUUUUCUUUGAUCUCCUGUUGAGUUUCUAGGUGUUCAGAAUGGUUUGAUCCCUAUCCAGCUGAAUUCCUGAGAGGAGACGAAAUCCAGGUCUCCUACUCCUCCGCCAUCUUGCUCCGCCCCCCCCCCCCCCCAUUCCCAUAAGUUUAAUGAGAAUUACUGCUUCGGUUUACAUAAGCAGGUGCGUGUGCACACCGUGUCUGAUGCUUCUAGGCACGUGGUCCUCCAUGGUGUCUGUGUCUCGUUUUUCCUGUCGUUCCCAGAUGGGCUCCCAGUCCACAAACAGGGAUCCUAACAGGCAUGUUCUUAGUUAUUCUAACAUCUUGAAGUUGGCUGGCCCCCUGUGCCUGCUGUUGGCCAUUGUGACACGUUGCCCCUGCCUGCCCCCCACGGAUGUCAUAACAUGGGCAUGGGGACAACCUGUGCAGGGCGACUGCAGCCUGGGAGAAUGUUGGGGGCUGAUAGCCAAGCCCUCUUUCAAGAAACGCCCAUGAUUAAUGCCAUGAAGGCAACGAGGUUUGGGAAGGAUGGGUGCUGCCAACACCAAAAGCUGGUGCAUGAUUGCUGGGCCUGGGCGGGAAGGAGAGCUAGGAAGACUCCACUCCAUUUAUUUCACUAAUCUUCUUCUUCUGUGAGCCUAAGAGCAGAAAAUAAUUUUUUUUUUUUAGAUUUUAUUUAUUUGAGAGAGAGAGACAGAGAUAGUGAGAUAGAGAGCACAAGUGGGGAGUAGAGGGAGAAGCAGGAUCCCCACAGAGCAGAGAGCCCGAUGCGGGACUCGAUCCCAGGACCCUGGGAUCAUGACCUGAGCCGAAGGCAGACGCUUAACCGACUGAGCCACCCAGGUGCCCAAGCAGAAAAUAAUUUUUAAAAAGAGCUGUGUCUAAACAAAUCAAAAAGAGCCCUUUCAAUGAGUAUAAAAAUCCUAAGUGGUAAGAAAGCAUUUUGGCAUUCAUGGUGGCAAUUUGCCCUUUAUUAGGGACAUACAAGACUGGUGCUCCUCACUGUGGAGUGAGGCUUGGCUUUGGGAAAAUACUGUAGGGCCCCAGCGGGCGCCCUCACAGGGCGUGUUUGUGUCGUGGGGCCUGUAAUCUGACCAACGUGCCACAGCCCGCAUCUUCACCAACACCUGGCAUAACUCGGCUUUCUAAUUUUUGCCAGUUCAGUAUGUGUAAUGUGCUGUCUUUGUUUUAAAUAGCACUUCUCAGAUGACUAGUAUGUUCCAGCAUCUCUUCACAUACUUGUUGGUCCUUUGUUUUCUUCUUCUGCACGUUGCCUGUUCUUUCCUUUUGCCCAAUUUUCUAUUAGGUCUGCUCCCUUUUUCCUCUCGAUCUGCAGGAGUCUCUUGCACAUUCUAGCUACUAACCCAUUGCAGGCUUAGACAUUGUGAAUAUAGUCCUCCCCCCACCCCCAUCCCCUGGAGCUCUUUGGAAAUGGUGGUGGGCCUGGUCAAUUAUAGGUUCUCACUGUCAUGUGGAAAUGAUGACACUCAGCUUUCCAAAUGACCACUUGGCCAUGACCUGGCCCUUCAGUGCACCUCACCUUCUUCUAAAUCAGUUCUUCCAGGAGCUGUGUUCUGAGGGAAUGCUCAUGAGACCCACUUGCAGCUGCAGAGACCGAUGUGAUUUAACUUCGCAAUUACCUCUGUCUGCACCUCUGUGUGUCUCAAUUAAGUCAGCUAGUAUUUUCUGAAUGUCUUCAAGUAGAAAUUAGGUUCUAGGCUUUCAGGAACAAAGGAAGGAGAGCUCAGGCAUGACAGGCUUGCAGAUCCACAAAGAAUAAAGUGACAAGAUGCUCACCACCUGCUCCCAGGGCACCAAGCAGGGGUGGAGGGACAAGGAAGGCUUCCUGGAGGAGGCAGCAUUGGGAUGGUGCCUUGAGGACUGGAGGCAUUUCUUGCCUUUCUUCCUUCCAAACUGUAAAGUCCUGAGGACAGUGACCACGUUGGGCAGUUCUGCUUCUUCUGAAGAACAACCAUGACUCCCAUGUAGAGAGAGCCCCGCCCUUCCGAGGUGGCCAGGCACAAGGACAGGAGAGACUGAAGCCCACACCCAGCCCUGGGGGCUGACCUCGACUCUGCAGAGAUCACACUGAGGCUCACCGGGGCUCUCUGGGGAUCAGUGACUUUCCUAAGGUCACUCACUCAGAAAAUACACCCUCUGCACCCAGCCCCAGACUCUUCAGCGUGCUGGAGCCACCUCUGCUCUCUUGGGCAGAGCAGGCCUUCUCUUCAGUGGGGGUGACAUCUGGUGCCGAGGGUUCAGAGUCACCAAACCCCUGUCUAUCCUGAACCUGAGCACGCACAGGCCACGAGCCCCAACGCUUGGGAUGACCAUGAAGACUGAGCCUGCACUGUGGCCCUGGGGGGCGGUUCUCAGUAGGCAGGUGAGCAGUGGGGAACUUGGGGUUUGGCAGGUCCUGAGGACAGGCCCAGGAGAAAGAAUGAAUUCCAUCCCAUGUUAGUUUUCCCUUCCAAGAAGUCAGACACUCUGGAGUUUAGCAUGCAUGCUGUCUCCUCCUGUAAUAUUGUGGUAGAGAAAAAUUCAUUCAUGUUAAAAAAAAAGUUUCAAAAGAUACACAUUGAUAGAAAACACAUUGCUGGGAAUAAAAAGAAAGUAAUGAAUAACAUUCCACAUAAUAGUGACUAAAAGCAAAAUAGUCUUCAGUUGAGGUUACAAGUUGAGUUCAAAUUGAAGGUGCUUUGUAAUACUGUUAAAAGAGCUGUCCUUUCCAAGGGGGAAAAUACUGUACUGUAUUUUAUCACAGGGUCCAAAGAGGGGGAAAUUAAACAGGAGGAAGGGAGGACAGGGAUGGCAGGCGGGUGGACGGAGCAUGUGCCUGGGUCCAUGCGCUGCUGAUUUCAGACAGAAGCCACUGCAGAAAUGCAGGGUUUGACCCAGAGGGACAGUUCUUAUUCACAGUCACCUGCUUCAUCUCUGCCCUCGCACUUCUUCUGAUGCCGAAGGGAGCACCUCUAACCUGACCUCAUGGGCUGACUCUGGGACCUUCCGGCUCACUCCUUACGUGGCUGGGCCGGUGGUGCUGUCCUGGGCUGUGGGAGGCUGGGGCACAUGUCCCAUCUCUAGUUCCCUAUGAGCCUCGUGCUGCAUGUGUCACUUCUGGCCUUGCUUGGUGCCCCUCCCAGGUCGGCCUGGACAUCUCCAUCAUGCAGCCUCCAGGGGGCCCCACUGUGGGGCUGGUUUUGAGUAAGGCUGUGUGGCAAAGCCUAUUCUAUACUUCCCUCACCCUUGCUCACCUUCCAUGCUAGAGGCUCAAAAAUCCUGUUAUUCCCUUUGCCGGACUCCCUUUUGUCAUAUGUAAGGCAGUGGUCCUAUGUUCUAGUUUGGGAUUAUGAGAUGAACAAGAAAACUUCUGGGAAAGAUCUUCCUCUCUGACAAGAAGAGAGAGGUAUAUAUGAGGAGUUCCUUUGGCUAGAGUCUCCUUUUUUGCUUCUUGGUGUGGAUGCUGCAGUGUGAACAUGUAAUGCUUGGGGCAAUGGCAGCCUUCUUGCAACCAUGAGGGAUAAGUCUAAAAACAAGAGCCAAUUCACUGAGUGUGCUGAAUCCCACGCUUGGGGUAGACAUGCCUCCUAAAUUUCUGCCCUCAUGGAACUUGCAUGCGUCCUUGUAGGGGAGAUGGGAAGUAAGCAGCCCCCUGGCCCCCGCCCAUCAUCCAAUUUUUUCCCCUCUCUGUAAAUUUGAUGCAGUUGAACACGGAAACAUUGGAAUCCUCACAUUGAAAGGAGACUAGCCACAGGGUGGAAGGAGCCUGGGUCCCUGAGUCAUACUUUGGAGAGGAGACACCUGCCAGCCAGAACCCUGCUUUGGGCUUUACAGGAAUGAGCCAUAAACCUCUAUUAUACUGGAGCCAUGAGUCACUUGUGAGUUUGCUUUUGCUUGCUGCUAGGAUUUCUUUAACUAAUAGAGUCUUCUUGGAGUUUACCCUAUUUCCAGUCUUAUACUUGAAGGAAGUAAAAUAUUUCCUUUGAGAUCAAGGCAGUUCAAGGUGGAGUUUUGGUUUAUUACAACCCUUAGCAUCCCAAGUGAUUGGAUUGUUAGGGUCUUCCCUUAAGACCUGUGGGGAGUGAUCUUAGCGAGUAGUCCUGGGAAACUGGAGGUCUCCUGCCACCCUCCCUCCACCCCGACCCUAACACUCUGAGUCAAGGGUGGCAUUUGAAAAGCAAAACACAAGUCCUUGUGGUCUCAGUGAAGGGCGUGGCAACAAAAGGGCAGGACAGGAAGCUUGGGCGAGGUGGCUUAGAGUGGCUGGUGGGGCAUGGCAGAGUGCCUCUAGAAUCAGUGUCCAACUCUUGGUUUCAGCUCAGGUUAUGGUCUCAGGGUUGUGAGAUCGAGCCCCGUGUUGGGCUCCAUGCUCAGCAGGGAGUCUGCUUGAGAUUCUCUCCCUCUGUGCUCCCCCAAUCCUGAUUGCACGUUCGCUCACUUGCUCUCUCUCAAAUAAAUAAAUAAAUAAAAUCUUAAAAAAAAGACCAUCCCCUCAAGCCCCAGUCAGCCCAGGAAGCACCAGAUUUUCCUAAAGCUCAGACGGAUUCCUGGCAUUGCCUGGUGUACAUCCCUAUUCAGGCUUCAAGGGCGACAAGGUGUUGGUUUGCUUCCUGCUGGUGCAGAAGCCACUCCUCCCCAGCUUCUCUGGCCACCUGAGCCAGCUCUGUUCCUGCCGCAGGUCUGGCUCAUCUUAAAUCCUUCAGGGGCUCUCCAGGCAGAGGUGGUCAACCCCGGAGGGCGUGGACUGGCUUGGGAGGGUCUGGAGGCCUGUGACUUCGCGUCCCUCUUCUCAUCAACUUAGAGUUUGUGCCCAAUUGCACUUUUUGUAGGUGGUCACUGCAGUUUCUCCUGUCCCUGUGCUCUUCUAGAAUGUUGCCCCCUUCCUUCCAGAGGUGAAGUCUGAUUCCCUUCCCCUGGAAGCUGGCUGGGCUUGUGUCUUUUUUCCUUAGAGCCGCAACAAAAUUACCGUGAACUGGGUGACUGAAAACAACAGAAAUUUAUUCCCUCACUGCUCAAGGUGUUGGCAGGACCAUGCUCUCUCUGCGGGGCCCGGGGAGGAGUCUUCCUUGCCUCUUCCUAGCCUCUGGUGGCUGCCGGCAGGCCUUGACCUUCCUCGUAGCGGCCUUGCUCCAGGCCCUGCCUCCACGUUCGCAUGGCCUUCUCCCACUGUGUCCCCUCUGUCCCUCUGUCUGAUUCUCCCUCUCCUUUACAGACACCAGUCAUACUGGCCCGAGGGCCCAACCUACUCCCGUAUGACCUCAUCUACCUGAUUCUGCAACGAGCCUAUUUCUAAAUAAGGUGACCUUCUGGUGGCUUUUGCGGGGACCCUCUUCAAGCGGGUACAGUUCGUGACUUGAAGGAGGCAGUGGAAGUGAUGUGCUGCCCGGUCGUCCACCUUCCAGCUUGUCGGCUGGAUUGCUCAUGCUGGAGCCCUGUGCCAUCCCCAUGACGAUGGGAGCGGCAUGGCUGCCCGCGCAAGCCCAGACCUGUCCACGUGCACAGACCUCCCGGAGAAGGCUUGAGAUCAUGAAGAAGAGAGAGAGAAAUGCCCUGCUGGCCCCAGAGGCUCCAGCCCUCCGCCAUUCCAGCUCCAGCCACUGCCAUCUGACUGUAGCUGCACCAUCGGUCCCCUUGGCCCCACCGUCCAGCUGAGCACUCCCAAAUUCCUGGCCUGCAGAACCAGUGGCAGACAAUGUCAGGGGCUGAAUUUUGCGCCUUCCUCCAAGUGUGUUUGUGGCAGCCCCGACCCCUGGAUGUUAGAAUGUGACAGUCUUUGGAGUUAGGGCCUUUAAAGAGAAAAUUAAGGUUAAAUGAGAUGCUAAGGGUGGGUGGGCCCUAACCCAGUCUGGCUGGUGUCUUGAUAAGAAGGGGAGAGACACCAGGGAUGUAGAUGCACAGAGAGAAGGUAGCCGGUAGCUGUCUGCAAGCCAAAGAGAGGGCUUGGGAGAAACCAACCUUGCCAGCACCUUGAUCUUGGACUUCUACCCUCCGGGACUGUGAGAAAUAAAUUUCUGUUGGUUAAGCCGCUCAGGGUGUGGUGAGCUGCUGAGAUAGCAGCCUGAGCAAAGUAGCCUCCGCAGAAGGUGAUCGUCGUCGUUUUAGGCUGCUACGUUUUGGGGGCAUUUGUUACGCAGCAAGGGUAACUGACAGACUAUAUAGAAGCAAGAGGAGCUAAGGGGAAACUCUCGGUGAUCCGGGGUUCUGCUCCUGGCUCUGCCAUCACUGCCAAUUCUUCUCUCCUCUCGGGGACUUGGUGUCCCUCUCUGUAGAGAACGGGCACAUCACAUGACGUGUAAGGUCUCUCACAGAUCUGUGAGGCCCUGACUUUCUGGAUGAGCCCUGGGAAGGAGUGAGUUCAACAGGGAACCAGAUUUGCGGCCUUGUUCCUGGAGACUUGGCUGGUUCAGAAGACGUUUGCCGAGAGUCAGUAACCUAAGAAUGACACCUACUGCUUGAGAAGCUCAUUUCGUGUCAGAUCUGCAGCGAUCUACGUACAUUAUCCCGUUAAAUUAAACCGUCACAAUCACACCACAGGGAAGGGGUUCUUUUUAUGGCUAAGACAGCCGAGCAGAGAAGUCCGGUGACCUGCCCAAGGUCACACAAGGAGUACGUGAGGGACCAGGGUCCUGACCACAGUCUGUCUGACUCCCAGGUUCACCUUGUGUCCUCAAGUUGACACUUAGGGCCAAGGUGGGCGAGUUUCAUCUGUCGCCCCCAUUAAAGCGGUUCCUCUGCCUGCAGGUGGUUUCGUCAGCCUCACCCGCACAUUAAACUGGCCGUCCCCACCGCCGCCGACUCUCCCAGAUGGAGGGGCAGACACAGGAUCAGGCGACUGUCCAGCCAUCUGUGCGGGGACGGGGAAUUUAUUGAGUGUCAACUGUGCUCCCGACUAGUGCACAAGACCAGAAAUCCUCCCCUUCCGUGGGGGAGGCGGACCAUGGACAAGUGAGCAGAAGGAACCAGCCUUACCAACACCUGGAUCUCCAACCUCUGGCCUCUGGGACCAGAAGACAAUACAUUUCCAUUGUUAGAAGCCGCGGUGUGUGGGACUUGGCUAGAACAGUGGUAACUGACCAGUACAUCUGGGGACCUGCCCCACCUGCCAAGGAGGGAAAUGUCGUCACGGUGGUGACUUGACUUGGAGCAUCUUGCCUAACACACACACACAGGCUGGGCCCUUGGUGGAUGGUUUGUAAGGGCCCAACGCUAACUCAUUUCUCAAGACAUGUGGCAUGUGGGCCAACGGGCGCCCAGAGGGGGAAAUGACAGACCCAUGACUGCACAGCACAGAAUGAGGGGACACAGCAUCGUUCUCCCCAGCUGCCGCUGUUUGUCUCCUAGUGUCUCACGGGCUGUGUGUCGGCCCCUUCCUUCCUCCCAUGAGGGGGAAGCCACCUGGGGAGGCCACUAUGCCAAGGUCAGAGUUGCUGGUGCACAGAAACGGCUGGGUCAGGUGGGUAGGUUUGCUAGUUCCUGGCAGUUACGAUGUGACAGCCCACUCUGAAUGGAGGGUCCCAUGUCGGCUGGCCUGCUGCAAUGGCCAGACAGGGUGUAUUCAUUUCCCGUGGCUUCCACCACAACUUACCACAGACUGGGUGUCUUAAAAUGAUGAGAAUUGGGCGCCUGGGUGGCUCAGUUGGUUAAGCGACUGCCUUCGGCUCAGGUCAUGAUCCUGGAGUCCCGGGAUCGAGUCCCCGCAUCGGGCUCCCUGCUCGGCAGGGAGUCUGCUUCUCCCUCUGACCCUCCCCCCUCUCAUGUGCUCUCUCUCAUUCUCUCUCUCUCAAAUAAAUGAAUGAAAUCUUAAAAAAAAAAAAAAAGAUGAGAAUUUGUUCUCAUGGUCCUAGAGGCUAGAAGUCCUAAAUCAAGGUGUCAGCAGGGUCCAGGCUCCCUACGAAGGCUCUGGGGGAGGGCCGCCUCUUGUCUUCCAGACUCUGGGGGCUCUUGGCCUUCCCUGCCUUGGGGUGACAUCUCUCCGGUCUCUCUCUGUCUGCACAUGUGGUCCUCUUCCCCGUGCCUCACUGGGUCUUGGGCCUCUCCCUCAGCCUUUCUCUUAUAAGGACCCCAAUCUCUUAUAAGGACUCUCAGUAUGAUCUCAUACUGAGAGUCUCAACCUAAUUACAUCUAUGAGGACCCCUAAUUCUAAGUAAGUUUCCAUUCAUGGGUUCUGGGGGUUAGGACUUAGACAUGGCUUUGGGGACACAAUUCAGGCCACCACACAGGGCGUGGACCCUUGCCCCUGAGUCCAUUCGAUGUCCAGUCAUACUGCCUGCACCCUCCUGAAACAGGGACAAGAAGGAGCUGGUCGUGAGUCACUUAGAGGAACUCUUAUGGCCCCUGAGGAGAAGGACUGUUUGUGGUUCCCUGAGGCCCCCUACACAACCCUCCACCUGCCUUCCCCGCCCCUCCGUGAUUCGGGGGCAGCCUCUUAGACUGGUCUGGAACAGCCCCGUCUUCUCUAACCCUGAGGUCCCCAGACUGCCUCAGCUCAUGGCUCCCUCCGUGUCUCAGGACUCCUUCACAAACUCUUCCACCAAAGAAAUACCCAAUGGUUCUGUUUAUUAAGUAUUAGGUCCAGACAACCUGAUACAUAUUCAUGUCCUAACAACUUAGUAACCAUUUGAAAGAACUAACAAAUGUAAAUUAAAAAAAUGUAUUCUUGUUUUAUUCUUAAAUAAUCACAAAUGCUUCCUAACGGGCUUUGUGCCCCGUCGCGCCCUGCACCACAUGCCGAGCCCUGUGGGCACCAAGUUUGCAUCCCCUAGUUAUUUGCGAAGCAGAACAUCUUUUUAUAAGCUUGUGGCCUCUUGGUGUUUCUUCUUUCGUGGAAACCCUGUUCAAAGUCUUCCCUCUUGGAUCGUUUGUCUUUUCCUCACUGAUUUGUAGAUGUUCUUUAUAUACGUUCUGAUUCUCUCCUUUGGCUGGUCAUAUGGCUGGUCAAAUACCUUCUCCCAAUGUGCUUUGUCUUUUCACAUUCUGAUGGCUGCCAUGUCAAAUCCGAAUGCAGUCUGCAUUCGUUCUUCCCACACUUGCCCCCAUGAUCAGGUUGUCCUCGUGCUAAAGCCCCUCCGCCCUGACUCUUCCCCACCUCUCCCAGCUGUCUGGUUCCUCCCUCCUUGUGGCCCACUCCGCCCUGGACACCCUGGGGUUGUUUGGUUUCUGGAGGCCCCCAGCUCAUUUUCAUCUAUGACGCGUGCACAGUGCUGCACCCCCCGGCUCCCCACCCCCGGUUCCCUCUCCCCUGGAUCCGCUCCUCUGGGAACUCACCUCUGCCCACAUCCUCCUCCUAACCGGCUCAGCCCUUCACCCUCUACUGCAGCCCCCGGUGACUCCAGGCUUCUGUGUCAUCAUAGUUUGUCACCAUCCUCGUGAUUAAUGUUGCUUAUUUACUUGUUUUCCAAGGCGUGUCUCCUCCAUCAGCUCCAGGACAAGGGACCAUUUUGUCUGCCCACUGCUCUUUCCCCAGUGCCCAGCAUGUAGCCAGUGUUUGCCCUGGGCCCCUGGCACAGCCCGCCCACCCCCCACCACCACUGGGACCAGUUGCCCAGGGGCAGCCCUGAGCCCCUGUGUCCUGCAGGGUUCUCAGCCUCCAAGCCAGUCAGUCCCAUCCCACACCUGGGCACACAACUGAAAUACAUCGACUCACUUGUUGCCAAGGGGGAGGAACAGGCAGCCCUGGGCCCCGUGCUCUGCAUGUCUGAGGCCUGGCAGGGGAGACCUCCGCCGGGGGCGGGCUGGUGGCAGGGAGGGGUGAUUGCAUGCCCCCCCACAGGAGGAGAUGGGUUGGCUGGGGGUACAUUUGCAUGAGAACUAGGCAUAAGGGGGAAAUGAGCAGGGGGAGCAGUUGUCCAAUUGGAGGUCUGGGAUUUGUCUUCAGCAAAUUUUCUCUGAUUUCCCCAAACACUUGAAAUUAAUUAGGUGGACCGGAGCCUUUGCGAGCCUCUCUCGGUUGGAGUCUCACCCCUGCCAGGGUUGAGUUUGGCAAGCCUACUGCAGGAGGCCUGGAUUUCUCACGCUGCCCCAGUCUGUCUUGUGCGUCUGCCGGCUCCUCACUACACUUCUGUUGAGCUGGAGGGAGCCUCCUAUGUAAGGCUUCCUGUAUGUGCGCACCUGCCAAAUGCACAGCUGUUGGGUGAUUCUAGGCUCCUGUCCUUCUGGGGCCAGAGGGCUGGGCUGUGUCCCUGGUGGGAGCGGCUGUUCCCACUGUCAGGCAUCCUGCAGAGAGGCGGGGACAUGAGGGCUGGAGAGGUGGACUGCCCACUGAGGUAUUUGCUCUCCCUGAGCUUUCUGGGAGGUCGGGCUGGACUUGGAGGUCGUGCACUCCCCUGGUGUGGGCUGGGUGGCCCCUGGGCUUGCAGAUGGGAGCGGCACUCAGCAAGGCUCGUGGCACCGAGAUCCCGCUACCUCGCAGCAGAUGUUCAGUUGUCUCUGUUUUGCCUGGGGCUUUCCUGACACCUCGAAAGAGUGGAAAACCUGGAAUUAGCUGUGUCGGAUGGAAUCAAAGCAGGAGCCCCUCCCCAAGGCCAGAGGGCACCGUGAGCAGUGACCACCAGGGGAAAAAGUCUGCCUGCAGGAAAGUGACCUCCUUAGUGCUAUUGGCAGUCACAGUUGUGACAUGGUGGCUUCCUGUGAGCCCCAAAGAGGCAUGACACAGCAGCCGGAAGCUGGUCAGAAAUGCUGGGGCAAGCUCAUGGCGCACACGUGUGUGCGUGUGCGUGCGUGUGCGUGUGUACAAGUUCCUCCAUGUGUAUGUGCCGGCUCAAAGUCGAUUUUAACGAAGGUUUUUACAAAAUAAUUUAGAGGUUUUUUGGAACAGGUCACGCGUUUCCAGUGGUUCCACAUUCAAGAGGUGGAGAAGAAUAGCAGUGAAGUUUGCCCUCCCCUCCAAUUUGUCAGCCAUGCAUCCUCUUCUUAAAGACAAGCAAUGUCCCCAGCCUCCUGUGUCAGAAACAUUUGACGAGUGUACAGUCACUUGUAUAUAUCCCCUCUUACCUGAUGGCAGCAUUCUGUACCUUCUGCUCUGCGCUUUAAUUUUUUCGUCAUAUAUUUUGAGAUGAUUUCAUAUUAAUGUGAGGCCAUCAUAUAUAUUGAGAUCGUCAUAUAUAUUGAGAUGAUCUCAUAUUGAUGUUGAUGUGUAAGGGCUUUCUUUUUCGGAUUAAAAUAGAGUCUAUUGGUGAGUCUAGCAAUCAACUUCAUCAGCUCCCUGUUGCAACGUUUAGGCUGUGUCUUAUCUUUUGUCAUGAUACAGUGGGCAUUGAAUGCAAGAGUGACCCUGUUUUGUCAGUACAGGGUAGGCUGUGGCAGAGCCAGUGAAUCUCACCUAAUAAUCCGUCCGUCUUCCCACCCGCCCCAGCUCCCUUGCAGCUAGGCGUGGUCAUGUGACCAUUCUGUCCCAGGGGCUGUGAGUAGAGCCAUGUGAGCGACUUGGAGCAGAGGCCCUGAAAAGCCCUGGAUUCCCUAAUCUCUUUCCCUCCACCAUGGCGACUGAAAAGGUGGAAUGUUCUGGAUGGUGAAACGACACGAGGGUGGAGCCUCUGUCAGCCUGGGUCCCUGAGGGACCCUGUGGAGCAGAGUCUCCUGCAGACCCACAGUGAACAUCGUGAUAUUUUACAUGAGCAAAAUCAGACACUAAGGAUUUAGGUGGUUUGCUUUGGCCUAAUUCACAGCGAGGACCAAUAUACAGGUAUUUGUGACAUCGAAUUUAAUAAGUGACUUUUAAAUGAAUGGUUUAUCAAGCAGUUUCCCAGAGAGGCUCCUUGGAACCCAUGGAGCUGCGGAUGCAGACAGGAAUUCUUAGAGCCGCCCUGGGCAUCUGCAUCUUCCUGCCACCCCAGGUGGAGUAUGGUCCUUAAAUGACCCCUUGCCACCAGACCUCUCAUCCCCAGCCGAGAGCACCUAAGUGUUGUGCACCCUGUCCUCUUCUCUCUCCCUUUGAUCCCAGGGGAGCUCUGAGGUCUUGCCAAGAAAUUCAGUUGUACUAGACUCAAACAUCACAGGAGGGCGUAUAUAAUUGUGAACACCCAGAAAUAAUCUAAAUGCCCAAAAUAGGGAAUAUAGUCAGUAAUUUAUGACAUGAGUUGAAACAGCCACUAAAAAUGAGGUCAAAGAAAAAAAAUAAAGGAACAGGUCCAUGAGAUUUUUAUUAAGAGAAAAAAUAAAGCAAUUACAAACUAGUACUUAAUGUGUAAUCCCACUUACCAAUAUAGAUCUCUGUGUAGAAAAUGUGUACUAUAGGAACUCGCAAACCCUGUCCCUUGGGUCCUCUCCAGUUUUGCUGAAAUACAGUCUUUGAUUACAGUUCUCUUCCUCUCUUGCAUCUUCAAUUCCCACCAAUGUGCUGAGGGCUCCCCACCGGGCUCCUCGCUAAGAUUUCAGCAUUUGCCAAAUGGUCACUCCAUCCCUGCCUUCUCACACCUGCUCUUCCUCUGUGCUGCAGUCUUGGCCACUGGUUCUGCCAUUCCACCAUACACUGGGGGAUCAUCCAGGGUCUCUCCAUUUUAGAAAUCUAACCAGUUAACCAAUUUCUUUGGUCAUUUCUCUCUAACAUCCCUUCUAUCUGUCCCCACUCUGGAUCACUUUCAGCACCUUGUCUUGGCCCUUACUUACUAUUUCAUACCUGAAAGAUUACAGCAGCCUCCUCCCUGGUCACCUGCCUCCAUUCUCAUCUGUCUCCAUUGAUUGCACACACUGACACCACCAUGCAGACCUGGCCACUCACUCUCAGCUUGAAACCUUCCAAUAGUUACUGACCACCUUGGUCAGUCUAAGCUCUUACAUGACAUUUGAGCUGAUCCAGCCAUACCUGUGGACUCUUCACUUCUUGUCUUACCUCGGUGCCCACCCAUUCAUCCCCCCAUCCAUCCAUCCAUCCCCCCACCCAUCCAUCCAUCCCCCUUCCAUCCAUCUCCCCACCCAUCCAUCCCCCCAC